This 1095-nucleotide long non-coding RNA is filed under the name Homo sapiens (human). RNAcentral describes it as "non-protein coding lnc-GPR135-4:1". Lineage: Eukaryota; Metazoa; Chordata; Mammalia; Primates; Hominidae. The record is from RNAcentral.
ACAGCCUUGCAGUGUUAGCGGUGGUCGUUCCGAAGCCGAGCUGCGGACCGCACGGGAGAGUGGGAGGGCUGCCCUGCGGUCGUGUGUGUUGACUUGACCUCUACUUUGCCCGGCGCGGGCUCUGAAGGAUCGGAGAGGUCCGGGGCUCGCGUGGUCCGGCCAGGCUCGCUCUAACUGGUCUUUCUUGGUCCCUGCUGGGAAGGGACGAUUAAGACUUUUCUGCCUUCCCCAGGCGUAGCAGCUAAUUCAGAGGGCUUACUGUUUUCUGGGUUAAAUACGGUCCUCGAAUUCUCCCCGCUCAACACUUCCAGAGGAUGGGGCGACGCCGGUCCCAAGGCGGAGGAAUCUCCUUGUACCCCCUCAAUUCACCUUUCUCUUUUCUGCUUCCCGUUUAACGGAGACAAGGUGACCAGGCAGAACGCGGGGAACCACUUAGUCGGCUGAGCUGACAGAAUAACGGAGGUUGUCACUACCAGAAGUGCGGUGUGAUAGACUAGACAGUCGCCGCAACCCUCCGUCAGGGCGCCUGCUGCUGCUGCAAAGAUAAUACUAUCGUGCAGCCAUGCUUUUGUUCAUCCCUGCAGCAGACUUCCCGCGCUGGUGGCUCUCCACUCCCAGGAAGAAAACGUCCUUGUCUAAAGUUUUAAUAAUUGUGUAUCUAUGUAUACACAUGUUUUUAAAUCCACAACACUCUCACCUCAUUUUCCAUACCUUUUCAAAUAUUUUUAUAAAGACAUUAAACCAAACAACAUCGUGCCGUUCAAGAAUUGCCCUGCUCUUAACACACCUAAAUAUUUAUUUAAAGGUAAGCAAAAGGUGUGUAGCAGAAUUCUGACCCUUUAGGCAGGUUGUAUUGUUAAUACAUAAUUUUUUCCGUGGCAUUUUUCAUUAUUCAGUGAAUACCAAGUGUCUUUUAAUAUGAAAAGAAUCAAUGCAUUUAGUUACUCGAGUUGUAAAUGUAAAUUUUAAUGGCAUUUGAUGUGUCUCAAUUCCAUAUAAUGAUCAGCUCACACACCCGUUCCACUAGCAAAAUCUCUAGAAGACUGUGCAUCUUGUGAAAAAAAGGUUCACAAUUAAGAUUUCAGACAACUCCCU